CGGACCAAGGAGUUUAGCGUGUGCGCGAGUCAUAGGGUGGAAAACCUAAAGGCGCAAUGAAAGUGAAAGGAGUCCUACGCUCCCGAGGGAGGAUGGGCGUAACGCCUUCGCAGGCGCCGUCCCGCACUCCCGGGGCGUCUCUUUCUCAUUACGAGUGGAGGCGCACCUGUAGCGCACACGCUGAUACCCGAAAGAUGGUGAACUAUGCCUGGCCAGGACGAAGCCAGGGGAAACCCUGGUGGAGGUCCGCAGCGAUUCUGACGUGCAAAUCGAUCGUCGGAGCUGGGUAUAGGGGCGAAAGACCAAUCGAACCAUCUAGUAGCUGGUUCCUUCCGAA
Molecule: ribosomal RNA, 337 nt
Filed under: Afrocimex constrictus
Lineage: Eukaryota; Metazoa; Arthropoda; Insecta; Hemiptera; Cimicidae
Description: partial 28S ribosomal RNA
Rfam family: Eukaryotic large subunit ribosomal RNA
Source: RNAcentral